This 74-nucleotide transfer RNA is filed under the name Bacillota bacterium. RNAcentral's name for it is "Firmicutes bacterium (anaerobic digester metagenome) tRNA-Gln". It matches the Rfam family "tRNA". Rfam says of the family: Transfer RNA (tRNA) molecules are approximately 80 nucleotides in length. Lineage: Bacteria; Bacillati; Bacillota. The record is from RNAcentral.
UGGGGAGUCGUCUAGUGGUAGGACAUCAGACUCUGGAUCUGAGUGCGAGGGUUCGAAUCCUUCCUCCCCAGCCA